Molecule: ribosomal RNA, 468 nt
Filed under: uncultured bacterium
Lineage: Bacteria
Description: partial 16S ribosomal RNA
Rfam family: Bacterial small subunit ribosomal RNA
Source: RNAcentral
GACGAACGCUGGCGGCGUGCUUAACACAUGCAAGUCGAACGGAAAGGCCCUGCUUUUGUGGGGUGCUCGAGUGGCGAACGGGUGAGUAACACGUGAGUAACCUGCCCUUGACUUUGGGAUAACUUCAGGAAACUUGGGCUAAUACCGGAUAUGAGCUCCUGCUGCAUGGUGGGGGUUGGAAAGUUUCGGCGGUUGGUGAUGGACUCGCGGCUUAUCAGCUUGUUGGUGGGGUAGUGGCUUACCAAGGCUUUGACGGGUAGCCGGCCUGAGAGGGUGACCGGCCACAUUGGGACUGAGAUACGGCCCAGACUCCUACGGGAGGCAGCAGUGGGGAAUAUUGCACAAUGGGCGGAAGCCUGAUGCAGCAACGCCGCGUGCGGGAUGACGGCCUUCGGGUUGUAAACCGCUUUCGCCUGUGACGAAGCGUGAGUGACGGUAAUGGGUAAAGAAGCACCGGCUAACUACGUG